AGCUCCAAUAGCGUAUAUUAAAGUUGCUGCAGUUAAAAAGCUCGUAGUUGGAUUUCUGGCUUGAAACAUUUUGCCGGCCACGGUUUCGUGUGUUAGUGCUUGGUGUUCUGGCCAUCCUUCCAAUCGCUGUUGUCUUUCUUCAUUGAUGGGCAAGUGGUAUUGGAUCUUUUACUUUGAAAAAAUUAGAGUGUUUCAAGCAGGCUCUUGCUUUGAAUACAUUAGCAUGGAAUAAUAAUUUAGGGCUUCGGUUCUAUUUUGUUGGUUUCUAGGACUGAAGUAAUGAUUGAUAGGGAUAGUUGGGGGUGCUAGUAUUCAGCGGCCAGAGGUGAAAUUCUCGGAUUCGCUGAAGACUAACUUAUGCGAAAGCAUUCACCAAGGAUGUCUUCU
RNAcentral lists this ribosomal RNA (387 nucleotides) under uncultured Cercozoa. RNAcentral's name for it is "SSU rRNA". It matches the Rfam family "Eukaryotic small subunit ribosomal RNA", at positions 587 to 972 of the family's 1831-position model. Lineage: Eukaryota; Cercozoa. The record is from RNAcentral.